RNAcentral lists this long non-coding RNA (274 nucleotides) under Malus domestica (apple). RNAcentral's name for it is "long non-coding RNA (MDOM_LNC011030)". Lineage: Eukaryota; Viridiplantae; Streptophyta; Magnoliopsida; Rosales; Rosaceae. The record is from RNAcentral.
UGUCUCUAAGUCUCUUCACCAAGGUUGUAUCUUGUGAAGAUGAUAUGGAUGAUUAAAGAAGAAGAGAUUGCUAGAUAUUUUCUUCCUUUAAUGGCCGGCCUCUUAGAAGAAAUAGAGAGAAAAUGUCUCACCCAAUUUCAACCUACCAAACCCUAAAGCUAUAAAGUUGAAUUUAUACUUCAUUUCUUUGGUGAGUGGCAAGCUUGCAAUUAAGCAAACUUUGCCCAUCCAACCCUAAUGGCCGGCCUCCUUGGUGUUAUUGGGCUAUUUGCCC